RNAcentral lists this ribosomal RNA (567 nucleotides) under uncultured bacterium. Its description in RNAcentral is "bacterial SSU rRNA". It matches the Rfam family "Bacterial small subunit ribosomal RNA", at positions 8 to 572 of the family's 1533-position model. The record is from RNAcentral.
AGAGUUUGAUCCUGGCUCAGAUUGAACGCUGGCGGCAUGCCUUACACAUGCAAGUCGAACGGUAACAGGUCUUCGGAUGCUGACGAGUGGCGAACGGGUGAGUAAUACAUCGGAACGUGCCCGAUCGUGGGGGAUAACGGAGCGAAAGCUUUGCUAAUACCGCAUACGAUCUACGGAUGAAAGCAGGGGACCGCAAGGCCUUGCGCGGACGGAGCGGCCGAUGGCAGAUUAGGUAGUUGGUGGGAUAAAAGCUUACCAAGCCGACGAUCUGUAGCUGGUCUGAGAGGACGACCAGCCACACUGGGACUGAGACACGGCCCAGACUCCUACGGGAGGCAGCAGUGGGGAAUUUUGGACAAUGGGCGAAAGCCUGAUCCAGCCAUGCCGCGUGCAGGAUGAAGGCCUUCGGGUUGUAAACUGCUUUUGUACGGAACGAAAAGACUCCUUCUAAUAAAGGGGGUCCAUGACGGUACCGUAAGAAUAAGCACCGGCUAACUACGUGCCAGCAGCCGCGGUAAUACGUAGGGUGCAAGCGUUAAUCGGAAUUACUGGGCGUAAAGCGUGCGC